GCUUGCUAAGACUGAUGGCGACCGGCGCACGGGUGAGUAACACGUAUCCAACCUGCCGUCUACUCUUGGACAGCCUUCUGAAAGGAAGAUUAAUACAAGAUGGCAUCAUGAGUCCGCAUGUUCACAUGAUUAAAGGUAUUCCGGUAGACGAUGGGGAUGCGUUCCAUUAGAUAGUAGGCGGGGUAACGGCCCACCUAGUCUUCGAUGGAUAGGGGUUCUGAGAGGAAGGUCCCCCACAUUGGAACUGAGACACGGUCCAAACUCCUACGGGAGGCAGCAGUGAGGAAUAUUGGUCAAUGGGCGAGAGCCUGAACCAGCCAAGUAGCGUGAAGGAUGACUGCCCUAUGGGUUGUAAACUUCUUUUAUAAAGGAAUAAAGUCGGGUAUGGAUACCCGUUUGCAUGUACUUUAUGAAUAAGGAUCGGCUAACUCCGUGCCAGCAGCCGCGGUAAUACGGAGGAUCCGAGCGUUAUCCGGAUUUAUUGGGUUUAAAGGGAGCGUAGAUGGAUGUUUAAGUCAGUUGUGAAAGUUUGCGGCUCAACCGUAAAAUUGCAGUUGAUACUGGAUAUCUUGAGUGCAGUUGAGGCAGGCGGAAUUCGUGGUGUAGCGGUGAAAUGCUUAGAUAUCACGAAGAACUCCGAUUGCGAAGGCAG
This 652-nucleotide ribosomal RNA is filed under the name uncultured Bacteroidales bacterium. Its description in RNAcentral is "bacterial SSU rRNA". It matches the Rfam family "Bacterial small subunit ribosomal RNA", at positions 75 to 724 of the family's 1533-position model. Lineage: Bacteria; Pseudomonadati; Bacteroidota; Bacteroidia; Bacteroidales. The record is from RNAcentral.